RNAcentral lists this ribosomal RNA (253 nucleotides) under uncultured bacterium. RNAcentral's name for it is "partial 16S ribosomal RNA". It matches the Rfam family "Bacterial small subunit ribosomal RNA", at positions 524 to 776 of the family's 1533-position model. The record is from RNAcentral.
UACGUAGGGUGCGAGCGUUAAUCGGAAUUACUGGGCGUAAAGCGUGCGCAGGCGGUUUUGUAAGCCAGAUGUGAAAGCCCCGGGCUUAACCUGGGAAUGGCAUUUGGGACUGCAAGGCUUGAGUGCGGCAGAGGAGACUGGAAUUCCUGGUGUAGCAGUGAAAUGCGUAGAUAUCAGGAGGAACACCAGUGGCGAAGGCGGUGCUCUGGGCCGGAACUGACGCUGAGGAGCGAAAGCGUGGGGAGCAAACAGG